GCAACUACAGUGUAAGGGAUUUUGAUUGUUAUGAUCUACCUGACCUAAUUCGUUAAACUUCGAAGCCCGUGUGAAUUAGCCCAAAUGGGUUGGAAUAGCCCCUGUUGACAGUUCUACAACCAUUAGAUUCCUAGUUUCUACUCCAUCAUGAUCACUAAACUGGAUGAGAAUCUUAACGCAAAUUUUUAAAGCAAAUUUGGUAAAAAAGGAAAAAGGAAUCCUAUAACUAAUAAAAUACUUCAAAAGAAUCCUCAUUUGUACGUUUAUUUAGCUGGCGUUGACAAAACUCUGUUAGUUUUUUCCCAUAUAUACACACACCAAAAAAAGAACAAAAAAAAAAAGCUCAACAGAUCUCAGUAGAAUUAUCUUUUCUAUUCUCUAUUCAACUAAUCUUCAAACGGGUAUAUUCUUUUUCCCCUUUACACUUCAUUACAAUGUUUUAAUUCAAUUUUUGAAUUUGUAUAAUUUUUGUCCCUUUUUAUUUCAAGAAUCUAAAAAAUAAGUUUUUUUUUACUUGGGUGUUUAUCUUUUUUGAUUAUUCUACAACCCCAUUUGUUCAAAGUUUUUUUUUUUUUUUUUAGCAUUAGCCACUUAAUUGUCUGUUUCUUGUUAUUCUUGAAGUGAUGACUUGUUUGAUUUGGUUGUUAUAUCGGGAAUGUUCUGCUAAAUUUUUGUUUUGUUUGGUUUGGUUGUUUAUUGUUGUUGUUGUUGUAGGUAGUUGCUACAAUUCAUCAAGGUUGACUUAAUAAGUUACACUUUUUGAUAUGUAUUAUUUCACCUUUUUCCUUCGAGAAAUAUUGGAGGGAGGUGAUUAGGCAUGAUAUGGAGAGUUAGGAAGGUGUGGAGGACGGGUAGAGGGUUAGUGGGGAGGAGUGCUUUUGUAUGUAGCUACACGUGUAUUUGCUUGUUUGUGGUGUUUUGGUGAUGUCUUUGAUUUCGAAUAGAUGGUUUAUGGUAUUACCAUGUGGAUGUCUUGUUUUCUUUAUUAUCCAACGAUGUGUCUCUCAUUUUUGUUGUGUGCUUUUAUGUUUUUCGUUUGUUUGUUUGAUUAUACUGUUAUCUGUCCCGAGCCGGUUUCUAUCUGAAACAACCUCUUUACUUGUGGUGUGGACUGCGUACACUUUAUCCUCCCCAGACCCCACUUUGUGGG
Molecule: long non-coding RNA, 1150 nt
Filed under: Capsicum annuum
Lineage: Eukaryota; Viridiplantae; Streptophyta; Magnoliopsida; Solanales; Solanaceae
Description: long non-coding RNA (CANN_LNC002289)
Source: RNAcentral